This 870-nucleotide ribosomal RNA is filed under the name uncultured organism. RNAcentral's name for it is "SSU rRNA". It matches the Rfam family "Bacterial small subunit ribosomal RNA", at positions 22 to 901 of the family's 1533-position model. The record is from RNAcentral.
GCUCAUGACGAACGCUGGCGGCGUGCUUAACACAUGCAAGUCGAACGGAAAGGCCCUGCUUUUGUGGGGUGCUCGAGUGGCGAACGGGUGAGUAACACGUGAGUAACCUGCCCUUGACUUUGGGAUAACUUCAGGAAACUGGGGCUAAUACCGGAUAGGAGCUCCUGCUGCAUGGUGGGGGUUGGAAAGUUUCGGCGGUUGGGGAUGGACUCGCGGCUUAUCAGCUUGUUGGUGGGGUAGUGGCUUACCAAGGCUUUGACGGGUAGCCGGCCUGAGAGGGUGACCGGCCACAUUGGGACUGAGAUACGGCCCAGACUCCUACGGGAGGCAGCAGUGGGGAAUAUUGCACAAUGGGCGGAAGCCUGAUGCAGCAACGCCGCGUGCGGGAUGACGGCCUUCGGGUUGUAAACCGCUUUCGCCUGUGACGAAGCGUGAGUGACGGUAAUGGGUAAAGAAGCACCGGCUAACUACGUGCCAGCAGCCGCGGUGAUACGUAGGGUGCGAGCGUUGUCCGGAUUUAUUGGGCGUAAAGGGCUCGUAGGUGGUUGAUCGCGUCGGAAGUGUAAUCUUGGGGCUUAACCCUGAGCGUGCUUUCGAUACGGGUUGACUUGAGGAAGGUAGGGGAGAAUGGAAUUCCUGGUGGAGCGGUGGAAUGCGCAGAUAUCAGGAGGAACACCAGUGGCGAAGGCGGUUCUCUGGGCCUUUCCUGACGCUGAGGAGCGAAAGCGUGGGGAGCGAACAGGCUUAGAUACCCUGGUAGUCCACGCUGUNAACGGUGGGUACUAGGUGUGGGGUCCAUUCCACGGGUUCCGUGCCGUAGCUAACGCUUUAAGUACCCCGCCUGGGGAGUACGGCCGCAAGGCUAAAACU